Vicia faba (fava bean) is the source of this 258-nucleotide non-coding RNA. Lineage: Eukaryota; Viridiplantae; Streptophyta; Magnoliopsida; Fabales; Fabaceae. The record is from the annotation of a GenBank genome assembly.
AUGGAUCCUUCCAGGCGGACACUUCAGAGGAUUUCAAAUGAUGAAUCUAUGUGCUCUGCCUCAGCUAGUUCAUGUUUGGUUUCUAAAAGAGGUUACAUCCCAAGAAGAUUAGUGAUUGGAAAUGAUGAAUAUGUCACAAUUGGCAAUGGAAACCACCUUAUUAGAGACCCAAGGAAACAAAUUCGAAAACUGGCAUAUGAAAAAGUUAGAUGGAGCUUGCACACUGCCAGACAGCGGUUGGCUCGUAAGCAGAAGUAA